RNAcentral lists this ribosomal RNA (424 nucleotides) under Verrucomicrobiota bacterium. Its description in RNAcentral is "Verrucomicrobia bacterium partial 16S ribosomal RNA". It matches the Rfam family "Bacterial small subunit ribosomal RNA", at positions 355 to 776 of the family's 1533-position model. Lineage: Bacteria; Pseudomonadati; Verrucomicrobiota. The record is from RNAcentral.
UGAGGAAUAUUGGUCAAUGGACGGAAGUCUGAACCAGCCAAGUAGCGUGCAGGAUGACGGCCCUAUGGGUUGUAAACUGCUUUUGUAUGGGGAUCAAGUUAGGGACGUGUCCCUAUUUGCAGGUACCAUACGAAUAAGGACUGGCUAAUUCCGUGCCAGCAGCCGCGGUAAUACGGAAGGUCCAGGCGUUAUCCGGAUUUAUUGGGUUUAAAGGGAGCGUAGGCUGGAGAUUAAGUGUGUUGUGAAAUGUAGACGCUCAACGUCUGAAUUGCAGCGCAUACUGGUUUCCUUGAGUACGCACAACGUUGGCGGAAUUCGUCGUGUAGCGGUGAGAUGCUUAGAUAUCAUGAAGAACUCCGAUUGCGAAGGCAGCUUACGGGAGCGCAACUGACGCUGAAGCUCGAAGGUGCGGGUAUCGAACAGG